GGAAUCUUCCACAAUGGGCGAAAGCCUGAUGGAGCAACGCCGCGUGUGUGAUGAAGGGUUUCGGCUCGUAAAACACUGUUGUAAGAGAAGAAUGACAUUGAGAGUAACUGUUCAAUGUGUGACGGUAUCUUACCAGAAAGGAACGGCUAAAUACGUGCGAG
Molecule: ribosomal RNA, 161 nt
Filed under: uncultured bacterium
Lineage: Bacteria
Description: partial 16S rRNA
Rfam family: Bacterial small subunit ribosomal RNA
Source: RNAcentral